CCUACGGGAGGCAGCAGUGAGGAAUAUUGGUCAAUGGACGCAAGUCUGAACCAGCCAUGUCGCGUGCAGGAAGACGGCUCUAUGAGUUGUAAACUGCUUUUGUACGAGGGUAAACGCAGAUACGCGUAUCUUUCUGAAAGUAUCGUACGAAUAAGGAUCGGCUAACUCCGUGCCAGCAGCCGCGGUAAUACGGAGGAUCCAAGCGUUAUCCGGAUUUAUUGGGUUUAAAGGGUGCGUAGGCGGUCGGAUAAGUUAGAGGUGAAAUCCCGAGGCUCAACUUCGGAAUUGCCUCUGAUACUGGUAGGCUAGAGAAUAGUUGCGGUAGGCGGAAGGUGUGGUGUAGCGGUGAAAUGCUUAGAGAUCAUACAGAACACCGAUUGCGAAGGCAGCUUACCAAGCUACUUCUGACAUUGAGGCGCGAAAGCGUGGGGAGCAAACAGGAUUAGAUACCCUAGUAGUC
RNAcentral lists this ribosomal RNA (460 nucleotides) under uncultured bacterium. RNAcentral describes it as "partial 16S ribosomal RNA". It matches the Rfam family "Bacterial small subunit ribosomal RNA", at positions 338 to 795 of the family's 1533-position model. The record is from RNAcentral.